RNAcentral lists this microRNA (16 nucleotides) under Corchorus capsularis. RNAcentral describes it as "sRNA CCACVL1_26281". Lineage: Eukaryota; Viridiplantae; Streptophyta; Magnoliopsida; Malvales; Malvaceae. The record is from RNAcentral.
CUUUCCUCUCGGCUUC